CAGUAGCCACGGUAAUACGAAGGGUGCAAGCGUUACUCGGAAUUACUGGGCGUAAAGCGUGCGUAGGUGGUGGUUUAAGUCCGUUGUGAAAGCCCUGGGCUCAACCUGGGAAUUGCAGUGGAUACUGGGUCACUAGAGUGUGGUAGAGGAUAGUGGAAUUUCCGGUGUAGCAGUAAAAUGCGUAGAGAUCGGAAGGAACAUCUGUGGCGAAGGCGACUAUCUGGGCCAACACUGACACUGAGGCACGAAAGCGUGGGGAGCAAACAGGAUUAGAUACCCCGGUAGUCCCUGUCUCUUAUAC
Molecule: ribosomal RNA, 301 nt
Filed under: uncultured bacterium
Lineage: Bacteria
Description: partial 16S ribosomal RNA
Rfam family: Bacterial small subunit ribosomal RNA
Source: RNAcentral